This 387-nucleotide ribosomal RNA is filed under the name uncultured fungus. RNAcentral's name for it is "partial small subunit ribosomal RNA". It matches the Rfam family "Eukaryotic small subunit ribosomal RNA", at positions 30 to 432 of the family's 1831-position model. Lineage: Eukaryota; Fungi. The record is from RNAcentral.
GCUUGUCUCAAAGAUUAAGCCAUGCAAGUCUUAGUAUAAACUGUUAUACGGUGAAACUGCGAAUGGCUCAUUAAAUCAGUUAUAGUUUAUUUGAUGGUCUGCAGCUGCUGGAUAACCGCAGUAAUACUGGAGCUAAUACAUGACACUAUGCCCGACUUAUGGAGGGCAGUGUUUAUUAGAUAUGUGAGCUGACGUGAGUUGGUGAAUCUUAGUAAAUGUUAUCGGACCGAGCUUUGAGAGCUUGGUGGAUCAUUCAAGUUUCUGCCCUAUCAACUUUCGAUGGUAAGGUAUUGGCUUACCAUGGUGACCACGGGUAACGGGGGAUUAGGGUUCGAUUCCGGAGAGGGAGCCUGAGAAAUGGCUACCACUUCCAAGGAAGGCAGCAGG